RNAcentral lists this transfer RNA (82 nucleotides) under Agaricus bisporus var. burnettii. It matches the Rfam family "tRNA". Rfam says of the family: Transfer RNA (tRNA) molecules are approximately 80 nucleotides in length. Their secondary structure includes four short double-helical elements and three loops (D, anti-codon, and T loops). Lineage: Eukaryota; Fungi; Basidiomycota; Agaricomycetes; Agaricales; Agaricaceae. The record is from Rfam by way of RNAcentral. RNAcentral also lists the same sequence under 2 other names.
GUCCUUGUCGAUUAGUGGUCAAAUCAUCUCGUUGUGGUCGUGCUGCUCCGAGAAGCCGGAAGUUCGAAUCCUCCCUGGGACA